GGGCGUAUAACUCAGGGGUAGAGUGCCACCUUGACAUGGUGGUGGUCGUUGGUUCAAAUCCAGCUACGCCCA
Molecule: transfer RNA, 72 nt
Filed under: Spirochaetota bacterium
Lineage: Bacteria; Pseudomonadati; Spirochaetota
Rfam family: tRNA
About the family: Transfer RNA (tRNA) molecules are approximately 80 nucleotides in length. Their secondary structure includes four short double-helical elements and three loops (D, anti-codon, and T loops). Further hydrogen bonds mediate the characteristic L-shaped molecular structure. tRNAs have two regions of fundamental functional importance: the anti-codon, which is responsible for specific mRNA codon recognition, and the 3' end, to which the tRNAs corresponding amino acid is attached (by aminoacyl-tRNA synthetases). tRNAs cope with the degeneracy of the genetic code in two manners: having more than one tRNA (with a specific anti-codon) for a particular amino acid; and 'wobble' base-pairing, i.e. permitting non-standard base-pairing at the 3rd anti-codon position.
Source: Rfam by way of RNAcentral